GAUGAACGCUGGCGGCGUGCCUAAUACAUGCAAGUCGAGCGAACAGACGAGGAGCUUGCUCCUCUGACGUUAGCGGCGGACGGGUGAGUAACACGUGGAUAACCUACCUAUAAGACUGGGAUAACUUCGGGAAACCGGAGCUAAUACCGGAUAAUAUAUUGAACCGCAUGGUUCAAUAGUGAAAGACGGUUUUGCUUUCACUUAUAGAUGGAUCCGCGCCGCAUUAGCUAGUUGGUAAGGUAACUGCUUACCAAGGCAACGAGGCGUAGCCGACCUGAGAGGGUGAUCGGCCACACUGGAACUGAGACACGGUCCAGACUCCUACGGUAGGCAGCAGUAGGGAAUCUUCCGCAAUGGGCGAAAGCUUGACGGAGCAACGCCGCGGGAGUGAUGAAGGUCUUCGGAUCGUAAAACUCUGUUAGUAGGGAAGAACAAAUGUGUAAGUAACUAGGCACGUCUUGACGGUACCUAAUCAGAAAGCCACGGCUAACUACGUG
This 497-nucleotide ribosomal RNA is filed under the name uncultured bacterium. RNAcentral describes it as "partial 16S ribosomal RNA". It matches the Rfam family "Bacterial small subunit ribosomal RNA", at positions 28 to 507 of the family's 1533-position model. The record is from RNAcentral.